AUCCAAGCUAAACACCCGUUGUUUAUCAAAUUCAUGGGAGGCAGAAAUCAUAAUGAUAGUUUGUUGAUGACACCUUUUCACUUUAGAGGGUGUGGUAAUAGUAUCUAAUGAUUCUAAU
Lupinus angustifolius (narrow-leaved blue lupine) is the source of this 118-nucleotide non-coding RNA. The record is from Rfam. Lineage: Eukaryota; Viridiplantae; Streptophyta; Magnoliopsida; Fabales; Fabaceae.